RNAcentral lists this transfer RNA (73 nucleotides) under Bacteroidota bacterium. Its description in RNAcentral is "Bacteroidetes bacterium (sediment metagenome) tRNA-Arg". It matches the Rfam family "tRNA". From Rfam's summary of the family: Transfer RNA (tRNA) molecules are approximately 80 nucleotides in length. Their secondary structure includes four short double-helical elements and three loops (D, anti-codon, and T loops). Lineage: Bacteria; Pseudomonadati; Bacteroidota. The record is from RNAcentral.
GGCUUUGUAGUUCAACAGGAUAGAAUUUUAGAUUGCGGAUCUAAAGAUGAAAGUUCAAAUCUUUCCAAAGCCA